This 429-nucleotide ribosomal RNA is filed under the name Chloroflexota bacterium. Its description in RNAcentral is "Chloroflexi bacterium partial 16S ribosomal RNA". It matches the Rfam family "Bacterial small subunit ribosomal RNA", at positions 355 to 776 of the family's 1533-position model. Lineage: Bacteria; Bacillati; Chloroflexota. The record is from RNAcentral.
UGGGGAAUAUUGCACAAUGGGCGCAAGCCUGAUGCAGCCAUGCCGCGUGUAUGAAGAAGGCCUUCGGGUUGUAAAGUACUUUCAGCGGGGAGGAAGGGAGUAAAGUUAAUACCUUUGCUCAUUGACGUUACCCGCAGAAGAAGCACCGGCUAACUCCGUGCCAGCAGCCGCGGUAAUACGGAGGGUGCAAGCGUUAAUCGGAAUUACUGGGCGUAAAGCGCACGCAGGCGGUUUGUUAAGUCAGAUGUGAAAUCCCCGGGCUCAACCUGGGUACUGCACCUGAUACUGGCAAGCUUGAGUCUCGUAGAGGGGGGUAGAAUUCCAGGUGUAGCGGUGAAAUGCGUAGAGAUCUGGAGGAAUACCGGUGGCGAAGGCGGCCCCCUGGACGAAGACUGACGCUCAGGUGCGAAAGCGUGGAGAGCAAACAGG